ACGCUUACUUCACCAGCACAUGUACUAAAAUUGGAAUAAUACAGAGAAGAUUAGCAUGGUCCCUGUGCAAAGAUGCCAUGCAAAUUUGUGAAGCAUUCCAUACUGUU
Aotus nancymaae (Ma's night monkey) is the source of this 107-nucleotide small nuclear RNA. NCBI's taxonomy places the organism in Eukaryota, Metazoa, Chordata, Mammalia, Primates, Aotidae. The record is from Ensembl.